AAUCUUCAAGGCAAAUGAUGUAAUAUAUAAAGCUUGAGUGUGUUGCUAUUAUUUUUGGCCAUAUCAACCUUACAUUGCUCCGUAUAAGGUGACAGAGCUGUGCCGAGGAAACAAGCGAAACUGUCUCUAUAUUCGCUGUUUCUGCUUCACCGGCGCGCGCCUCACUCACGUCUGGCUGCCUGGUAUUUCUUCUCCGGCUCCCAGGAACGACAGGCGUGCUGGAGGAAGAAGGAUCGUGUUACUGUGGAUGUGGUGCGUGUUUUCAUCUUUUCACGUCCUCUAAGGUAAACAACAAGGGAGAAGGGAGGUGUUGCAGAGAAUUACAACACGGGAGAAGAGAGGUCAUGCCAUCCCAUCCCCCAGACAAGACUUUAUAAUACAUGAUACGGAACACGAAACAGCAGGCAGUGUGUGACCCAUGGCGAAACUACAUCGGAAAGGGAAGGCGAGGAGAUGAGCUAGAGGGAAGACUGCAGAGUGAGUGUCUUCUGCUGUGUGGGGACUCGGAAGCGGACAGACACCCGAUACGCGCGUGGUGUGCGGUGACCCCUGGUCCUGCACCGUGAUUCAGUCAAGCGUCUCCCAGCAAGCCGUCCCGGAGGAGAGACGAAAUGCACACGGUGGGAAGACAAGCUGGCAGGUGACUAGUGUCUGUUGGGAAGAGACUGCACACGACAGAGAGACUUCAGUUGGCAGGCGAACUCAAGGGCUGCAUGCUGGGGAGAAAAGACGUUCUGCACACCUCAGGGAGACGCCUCAGCUGGCAGGCAACCGUGGAGUCUGUUCAGGAGAGAGGAAGAUUGUCAGCUCACUUAUGCUACCGAGGGAGUGUAUUGUACGUGGUACGGAUAUUAUAAACUACGCUCUGUAACUAAGAUGUUUGGAUUUAAAUAAAUGUAAGGGACGCC
Long non-coding RNA from Eriocheir sinensis (Chinese mitten crab), 908 nucleotides. RefSeq lists it as uncharacterized. The transcript has 4 exons. NCBI's taxonomy places the organism in Eukaryota, Metazoa, Arthropoda, Malacostraca, Decapoda, Varunidae. The record is from RefSeq and is a predicted model, not a curated record.